This 271-nucleotide ribosomal RNA is filed under the name uncultured archaeon. Its description in RNAcentral is "partial 16S ribosomal RNA". It matches the Rfam family "Archaeal small subunit ribosomal RNA", at positions 477 to 747 of the family's 1478-position model. The record is from RNAcentral.
CAGCGCCACGAGUGGGAACCACAAUUAUUGGGCCUAAAGCGUUCGUAGCCGGUUAGCUAAAUCUUUUGUGAAAUCGACAGGCUUAACCUGUCGGACUGCAGAAGACACUUGCUAACUUGGGACCGGAAGGGGUCAGGAGUAUUCCAAGGGGAGCGGUAAAAUGUUAUAAUCCUUGGAGGACUACCUGUGGCGAAGGCGCCUGACCAGUACGGGUCUGACGGUGAGGAACGAAAGCUAGGGGAGCAAACCGGAUUAGAUACCCGAGUAGUCC